UACGGAGGAUCCAAGCGUUAUCCGGAAUUACUGGGCGUAAAGAGUUGCGUAGGCGGCAUAGUAAGCAAGGUGUGAAAUCGUGUGGCUCAACCAUACACACAUACUUUGAACUGCUAAGCUAGAGAAUGGAAGAGGUCGCUAGAAUUCCUGGUGUAGGGGUGAAAUCCGUAGAUAUCAGGAGGAAUACCGAUGGCGUAGGCAGGCGACUGGUCCAUUUCUGACGCUCAGGCACGAAAGCGUGGGGAGCGAUCGGG
RNAcentral lists this ribosomal RNA (254 nucleotides) under uncultured bacterium. RNAcentral's name for it is "partial 16S ribosomal RNA". It matches the Rfam family "Bacterial small subunit ribosomal RNA", at positions 524 to 776 of the family's 1533-position model. The record is from RNAcentral.